This 468-nucleotide ribosomal RNA is filed under the name uncultured bacterium. RNAcentral describes it as "partial 16S ribosomal RNA". It matches the Rfam family "Bacterial small subunit ribosomal RNA", at positions 28 to 507 of the family's 1533-position model. The record is from RNAcentral.
GACGAACGCUGGCGGCGUGCUUAACACAUGCAAGUCGAACGGAAAGGCCCUGCUUUUGUGGGGUGCUCGAGUGGCGAACGGGUGAGUAACCCUUGGGUAACCUGCCCUUGACUUUGGGAUAACUUCAGGAAACUGGGGCUAAUACCGGAUAGGAGCUCCUGCUGCAUGGUGGGGGUUGGAAAGUUUCGGCGGUUGGUGAUGGACUCGCGGCUUAUCAGCUUGUUGGUGGGGUAGUGGCUUACCAAGGCUUUGACGAGUAGCCGUCCUGCGAGGGUGACCGGAUACAUUGGGACUGAGAUACGGCACAGACUCCUACGGGAGGGAGCAGUGGGGAAUAUUGCAUAAUGGGCGGAAGCCUGAUGCAGCAACGCCGCGUGCGGGAUGACGGCCUGCGGGUUGUAAACCGCUUUCGCCUGUGACGAAGCGUGAGUGACGGUAAUGGGUAAAGAAGCACCGGCUAACUACGUG